Myripristis murdjan (pinecone soldierfish) is the source of this 269-nucleotide long non-coding RNA. RefSeq lists it as uncharacterized. The transcript is spliced from 3 exons. NCBI's taxonomy places the organism in Eukaryota, Metazoa, Chordata, Actinopteri, Holocentriformes, Holocentridae. The record is from RefSeq and is a predicted model, not a curated record.
GCCAGACUGAAGUGGCAGAAGAUCAAAAACUUCAGAGGAUUAAGAGAAUGAUAUUGAUGGAGCAACCCUCGAAAUUCUCUCUGAGAGGAUGUCAGAGAGAUUAAUCCCAUCAAUAAAAAAUCAAGCACAAUUCAUCAAGUAUCUCGAGCAGUUGAAGUCAUCAUCAUCAUCGCCAUCAUCAUCAUUGUCAACAAGAAGAAGAAAUUGGAACAGCUGGACCUGCUUCACUGGGUCAGUUUGCUUUCCUCAAAGCAUUAAAAGAUACACUU